Molecule: small nuclear RNA, 33 nt
Filed under: Cervus elaphus hippelaphus
Lineage: Eukaryota; Metazoa; Chordata; Mammalia; Artiodactyla; Cervidae
Source: RNAcentral
GUGCUCGCUUCGGCAGCACAUACACUAAAAGUG